This 1755-nucleotide long non-coding RNA is filed under the name Calidris pygmaea (Spoon-billed sandpiper). RNAcentral describes it as "lncRNA (ENSCPGG00000014619.1)". Lineage: Eukaryota; Metazoa; Chordata; Aves; Charadriiformes; Scolopacidae. The record is from RNAcentral.
AUGGGAAUACAGAAAUUUUCCUUCUACCCUUAUGAGAAAGAUGAAGAAGAGGCUCAUCAACACAUAAGCAAACCUCAGAGGACUUGUGCUUCUUCACUGCCCUGGCGUGGUGGAACAGUGACUUCUCUACACACUCUGCAACCUUAUACACAACAACAGGUUGGUAAACUAUGGCUGUGUUCAAAGCCUGAUGUUGAAAGCAUUUUUGCUGCAUUGAUUAGUAGGAAAUUGCACUGCAGAGAACUCUCUGAAGAGGUGUCUUUAAUUUUCUCUGUUACUUUUGUCAUUGCUAGUAAGCGCCUCACUUAAUUAACAUUGCUCUGUGUGCUCUCAAGGAUUUUGUCCUUUCCUCUUCUCUCAUCGUGAGCCACCUUCUCCUUAUGAGAAAGUGUCUCAAGAUGGGGCCUUAAGGGAAGAAAUGCUCUGUAGGAUCUUUACAAAGCUUUUGCCAGGCUCCUUUAGGUGAGAGUAGGGUUUCAGCCAUCCAUCCCAAAAUGAGCAGCUGUCACCUCUGUGCACUGAAAAUGCCUAAAAUCUGUACCCAUUGUCAGUGGAGGACUCUGUAUGCAGAUGUAUGUGGGGAAGCCAGGUUGGGGUGUGUCUGCUGUAAUGGGUGAUGUUCCCUUCUGGUGUUUUAGCUGUGCUGAACUGGGCCUGUUUGGUGUGGGGGUUGAUUUUAUCGCAUCUUUCAAUGGCAGCUGAAGCCAUUGUGAUCAAAACCGAAAUUAGAGCCAUGUUGUGACAUUUGGAAAGGAUAUAGUGAAAACUCUUUAAAUGUUAUUGGGUCACUGAGAAAGGAUGGGGUUGGUGUUGGCACAGACGCAGCACUUAAGGAGCCUGGGUGUUUCUAAAUAGGUUUCUGCCCUCUUUUUUUUCCUUUUUACAAAUGGUGUUUGACCCCAGUAUUGCGGAGCCAGCUGGGAAACACAGAUGAAGGAGAGCUAUAAAGAUCUCUUUCCAACAGCCCUGUUUUAGGAACCCACCCACUCAGGGCAGAAGUUUGAGAGAAAAUUGAGUUUUGCUGAAGAGCGUCACCCAAAUGGGCACAAAGCCAGGCCAAUGCCCACUGGUCUGAAAGAGAGAGAGUUCUGUUAUAUAAAACUGCUAUUCAAGGGCCCUAUGGAUCCACACAACGUCCAUGAAGAUAGUAUUAGUGCUUCCAUCUGUUUCUUAACUAUUUCAUAGAUUAUUUUUUUUAUAGUGAGGGUGUACUUUUGGAGGCUAUUGCGUGUUUCCUCCAAAGAACCUGAAAAAUUACUAUUUUUUAUUAAAUAUAACAACAUUUUUUUCUACAGGACUUAUUUGUUUCUGGUACUUCUGAACUCCAUCUGGUUAGUUUCCCUCCAUACAUUUGUUGUUACAGCUGCCUUUAAAAAAACACUGAGCAUAAUGUCUCUGCUUCAUGCUCUUGAUUUUUAUUCAUGUCACUAAUAAUGGCACUGGUUCUGAUAAUAGUGACUCUGCGUUCACAGUCAAUGGGUACAUUUUCCUCCUGCAGAGAAAAAUUAAUUGUUUGUCUAACUUUGUUGGGGCAAAUACAGGGCUCAGUGCCUCUGCCUUCCUCUCAUUAGAGUCAGUAAAACCUUCCCUCUGAUUCUUGGGGCCUUUCACCAGUAUACCGAAUGGAGCUUCUUGAAAUACAAAGUAUUUUUCUGUUCUCAUAACUUAUAGUCACAAACUUGCUGGAUUUGAUGACUGGUGGUUUUGAAGCCGGUUCCAAGAUCAGUUUCAAAUAAAUGCCAGUUCCCAAAUUCA